CCGCGUGAGGGAUGACGGAUUUUGGUCUGUAAACCUCUUUUCUCAAGAAAGAAGUUCUGACGGUACUUGAGGAAUAAGCAUCGGCUAACUCCGUGCCAGCAGCCGCGGUAAU
This 112-nucleotide ribosomal RNA is filed under the name uncultured eukaryote. RNAcentral's name for it is "partial 16S ribosomal RNA". It matches the Rfam family "Bacterial small subunit ribosomal RNA", at positions 397 to 524 of the family's 1533-position model. The record is from RNAcentral.